Molecule: transfer RNA, 75 nt
Filed under: Puniceicoccales bacterium
Lineage: Bacteria; Pseudomonadati; Verrucomicrobiota; Opitutia; Puniceicoccales
Description: tRNA-Arg
Rfam family: tRNA
About the family: Transfer RNA (tRNA) molecules are approximately 80 nucleotides in length. Their secondary structure includes four short double-helical elements and three loops (D, anti-codon, and T loops).
Source: RNAcentral
GUCCCUGUAGUUCAAUGGAUAGAACCGCGGUUUCCUAAACCGUUAAUUCGAGUUCGAGUCUCGACGGGGGCACCA